RNAcentral lists this ribosomal RNA (336 nucleotides) under uncultured bacterium. Its description in RNAcentral is "bacterial SSU rRNA". It matches the Rfam family "Bacterial small subunit ribosomal RNA", at positions 335 to 662 of the family's 1533-position model. The record is from RNAcentral.
ACUCCUACGGGAGGCAGCAGUGGGGAAUAUUGCACAAUGGGGGAAACCCUGAUGCAGCCAUGCCGCGUGUGUGAAGAAGGCCUUCGGGUUGUAAAGCACUUUCAGUAGGGAGGAAGGUAGUGUAGUUAACACCUGCAUUAUUUUGACGUACCUACAGAAGAAGCACCGGCUAACUCCUGCCAGCAGCCGCGGUAAUACGGAGGGUGUGAGCGUUAAUCGGAAUUACUGGGCGUAAAGCGCAUGCAGGCGGCUUGUUAAGUCAGAUGUGAAAGCCCGGGGCUUAACCUCGGAAUUGCAUUUGAAAACUGGCAAGGCUAGAGUCUUGUAGAGGGGGGU